Molecule: long non-coding RNA, 1567 nt
Filed under: Marmota monax (woodchuck)
Lineage: Eukaryota; Metazoa; Chordata; Mammalia; Rodentia; Sciuridae
Source: RNAcentral
CCUCAGAAUUCCAUCUUCAAGCUGUUUGACAGCCUCACCUUAUUGGCCUCAGGAAAGCUAAUGUACCAUGGUCCUGCCCAGAAGGCUUUGGAGUACUUUGAAUCAGCAGGUGUGGUUGACCUUUUCAGGCACUAGAUCCUUCCAUCAUAGACUCCUGGGGGAGGACAGUGGGAUGGACAGGAGCGCUGCUUGGUCUCUGCAUAGACUAACUGGGGUGCCAUCACUCCAAAACAUUUUUGGUCAGUUUAGUGUUAGGAGUUUUCUUCAUUUUUCAGUGUUUGCUUGUUGUUUAUGUCUCUUUCCUUCUUCUCCCCUCUUUGAAUGUGUGUGUGUGUGUGUGUGUCUCAUGGGCUUACUUCCUAGUUAUGCUGACCUUUCCCUGAGAAUUCAAUAAUUAACUGGCUGGACUCACAGCCAGCUAUUCAGCUGAACAUUUCUAGAAAGACCUAGUGUCAUUCAUUUUCUUCUAGACCAUGUAACAGAUAGUGAUGUUAUUCUACUUUUAUGAGGGCUCAUGGAGAUGCUCAUUGUUUUCUAGUAAUAUUAAAUUGGCUUGAGUGGGUGUGAGUUAUUAUUAGCCACUGGAAUGGCUGGUCUUAAGUUUGACCUGGGUAGGCAAACAUUUCUGGGCUCCCAGGUUCUCUUUCAGAUUGAAUUGUGUGAUCUUUUUAAUGGCUCAUGCAAUCUGUUUCAUUUUAGAGACAUUUAGAAAUUAUUAUAGAUAUUUCUUCAUGACCCCAAAUACAGUUUUAAAUAUUCCCUAGCUAUCUUAAUAUUUUAAUUUAUUCUCAGCCACUUAAAAUUAAGCAUGUAUGGGUUUAGAGAGUUCAGAGGAGAUGAACUUAAAGAGUCAGGUCUCAGGCCAAGUUCAGAUGAUGUGCCAGAAGAAGUUGAGGUGAGAGUUUAGGUGUGCUGUGCUGGUCAUGUUCUCUCAAGAAUUCAGUUCUGGGAAUUUGUUGGCUAUUUUGAAUUAUGGCAGCAUGAUAUGAUAAUGAUAAGUUGGAACUCUGAAUUUAGUAGGUGGAGAAGCAAUCUUGUUGACAUUCAUAGUGCCAUUCCAGCAUUUGCUUUAUGAACUCAGAAAACACAAUGAACCCAGGCAUUUUUUUUCUUGUAUCUAGAUUUAAGAAGUACUGAUAAGCAUCAGUUGAUCUUGAUAAAAAGGGAUCAGUAUAUUAUGUUCUAAAAAGUCCAAGAUUGGUUAACACACACACACACAAACACAAAAACAAUAGAAUAAAACCACAUACACACAUAUUUAUAUGUAUUGUAUAUGUGUGUGUUUACAAACAAACACACAUAGGGUUGGGAGACAAAGCAUUGUUGAAAUAUUUUGUGAAUGAAUAAGGAAAGUAUAAACCAGUGAGGUGAGAAGAAAGCAAGAUUAUGGCAGAGAAAAUGUCAGAUUCUGUCUUCAUAGCCUCACUUUCGUCACUCUCUGGAAGUGAGUAGUUUUUACUUUUCAAGCCCAUCAGGUUGAGUUCUUUGGUUGCUUUGUUUCAUAGGUUACCAUUGUGAGCUCCUCAGUAACCCUUCAGACUUCUUCGUGGAUGUCAUCAAUGGAGAC